This 943-nucleotide long non-coding RNA is filed under the name Lupinus angustifolius (narrow-leaved blue lupine). RNAcentral's name for it is "long non-coding RNA (LANG_LNC001679)". The record is from RNAcentral. Lineage: Eukaryota; Viridiplantae; Streptophyta; Magnoliopsida; Fabales; Fabaceae.
AUGUUAACAAUGUGUAACCUAAUAUUGUGACAAAAAUAUCCUUAAUUGCUCAAUUAAAAAGAAGACAUAUGUCAAUAUUAUUUUAGUAAACAACCUAUAUUAAAAUUAAAAAAAUAACAAAAUCAUUAUCCUCUUCCCCCGUACCCUCCAAACCUAUUUCCUCCUAAUCCACCCAGAGACACUAUAAGCCACAACCACACAGAACCACUUCAAGACUCUUCCCUCCACUUCAAGACUCUUCCCUCAUCGUAUGCUUAUAAUCUUUUGUCACUUGUUGACCCUGUGAGCGCUGAUGGCUCGAAACGCAGAAGCACUGUCACCGUCACGUCACCACCCCACCUAAACCACUGUCGCACCACCACCCCACCAGAACCACGUUGCACCAGACAUAUAGAUUCGUCUCGGUUUUCAACCACACAUGUCGUCACAACAGACAACCAAAAUCACUGCUGCUGUUUUGAGGAUCUAGGAUUUGUUACUACUAUUAUGAGGGAGUAUGACAUGAAAAGAUUUGUAAUUGUUGCAAACUAUAAGGGAGCAUGGCAUAAAAAAUGUUUAGAACAAGAUGAAUGCAAUAUUUAAGAUACUAAUGUGUAAGAAUCAUGUGUUAGCUUUUUCUUGUAAUUGUAUAUUUUUACUAGUGUUAUGUAUGCAAUAUUUUGUAAGAAUGAAAUAUUUUGUGAAAUUGAUAUCUUAGAAUUUUUACUAUUGCUAUGUGUUAGCUCUUCUGAGUAUAAGUCCCUAAGUUGAGAAUGCUUGUAAAUAUUCCUUGGUGGGUUUAUACUUGUGCAACAAACUUUAAUUUGAUAUUGUUGUUCAUUGCUAGUUAUUAUGUAGUAUUAUAGAUAAUCAAAUAUACUUUUGCAGCUCCUGGUUCCUAGUAAAAGUUCUUAUAGUAACGUUAUUAUUCAUUUCUGUUUAUUAUGAAGCCAAGAGAUUAUUG